RNAcentral lists this ribosomal RNA (484 nucleotides) under uncultured bacterium. Its description in RNAcentral is "partial 16S ribosomal RNA". It matches the Rfam family "Bacterial small subunit ribosomal RNA", at positions 30 to 507 of the family's 1533-position model. The record is from RNAcentral.
AUUGAACGCUGGCGGCAGGCCUAACACAUGCAAGUCGAGCGGUUGAAGGGAGCUUGCUCCUGGAUUCAGCGGCGGACGGGUGAGUAAUGCCUAGGAAUCUGCCUGGUAGUGGGGGAUAACGUCCGGAAACGGGCGCUAAUACCGCAUACGUCCUGAGGGAGAAAGUGGGGGAUCUUCGGACCUCACGCUAUCAGAUGAGCCUAGGUCGGAUUAGCUAGUUGGUGGGGUAAAGGCCUACCAAGGCGACGAUCCGUAACUGGUCUGAGAGGAUGAUCAGUCACACUGGAACUGGGACACGGUCCAGACUCCUACGGGAGGCAGCAGUGGGGAAUAUUGGACAAUGGGCGAAAGCCUGAUCCAGCCAUGCCGCGUGUGUGAAGAAGGUCUUCGGAUUGUAAAGCACUUUAAGUUGGGAGGAAGGGCAGUAAGUUAAUACCUUGCUGUUUUGACGUUACCAACAGAAUAAGCACCGGCUAACUUCGUG